Molecule: ribosomal RNA, 393 nt
Filed under: uncultured bacterium
Lineage: Bacteria
Description: partial 16S ribosomal RNA
Rfam family: Bacterial small subunit ribosomal RNA
Source: RNAcentral
AUACGGAGAAUCCGAGCGUUAUCCGGAUUUAUUGGGUUUAAAGGGUGCGCAGGCGGGAGAUUAAAUCGGCGGUGAAAUUUUGCAGCUCAACUGUAAAAGUGGCUUCGGAACUUGUUUCCUUGGGUGUAGAUGGAGUAGGCGGGAAUUGUGGGGUAUCGGGGAAAUGCAUAGAUAUCACGAGGAACUCCGAUUGCGCAGGCAGCUUACUAAACUACUACUGACGCUCAGGCACGAAGGCGUGGGGAUCAAACAGGAUUAGAUACCCUGGUAGUCCACGCAGUAAACGAUGAUUACUAGCUGUUUGCGAUACAAUGUAAGCGGCUGAGCGAAAGCGUUAAGUAAUCCACCUGGGGAGUACGUUCGCAAGAAUGAAACUCAAAUGAAUUGACGGGG